Molecule: ribosomal RNA, 403 nt
Filed under: Fusobacteriota bacterium
Lineage: Bacteria; Fusobacteriati; Fusobacteriota
Description: Fusobacteria bacterium partial 16S ribosomal RNA
Rfam family: Bacterial small subunit ribosomal RNA
Source: RNAcentral
UGGGGAAUAUUGUACAAUGGAGGGAACUCUGAUGCAGCGACGCCGCGUGAACGAAGAAGGCUUUCGAGUUGUAAAGUUCUUUUAUAUGGGAAGAUAAUGACGGUAUCAUAAGAAAAAGCCCCGGCUAACUACGUGCCAGCAGCCGCGGUAAUACGUAGGGGGCUAGCGUUGUUCGGAAUUACUGGGCGUAAAGGGUUCGCAGGCGGAUAUGCAAGUCAGGUGUAAAAGGCAGUAGCUUAACUACUGUAAGCAUUUGAAACUGCGUAUCUUGAGAAGAGUAGAGGUAAGUGGAAUUUUUAGUGUAGCGGUGAAAUGCGUAGAUAUUAAGAAGAAUACCGGUGGCGAAGGCGACUUGCUGGGCUAAUUCUGACGCUGAGGAACGAAAGCGUGGGUAGCAAACAGG